Callithrix jacchus (white-tufted-ear marmoset) is the source of this 2410-nucleotide non-coding RNA. The record is from RefSeq and is a predicted model, not a curated record. NCBI's taxonomy places the organism in Eukaryota, Metazoa, Chordata, Mammalia, Primates, Cebidae.
AUUCCCACUAGGCAGUUCACAGUACAGAAUUUGUCCUCAGGAGACAGGCUACAACUGCAGCUAUGGAUUUGGGAGUCAUCCAGAAGAGCUGUACAUGAAUUCCAUCAGGGAGAAUAGAUACAGCGAGUGGAGAGGAGGGCUAAGAUCCGGACUGGUUGACCUCUGAGGUCCCUUCUCGCUCAACAGCCGAUGGUGAUGAUGAAAAGAUGAUCUUGUUCUUCUCAUCUGUUCAGCACUGGACAGCUGCCUGGAAAAUCUUGAUUAGCCAAACAAGGUCACCUGAAGGAUGGCCAGUACAGACGCCUGUGGACUGUGCUUGGGAGUCUCCAUCUAAUCUCUCUCUAAGUAGAUGUUCUGGGAUUCCUCCAAGUACAAACACGACUCAAGGGCAACAGCUUGAUCAGAAAAUGUAGAAAUGAAGAGCAAUUAGUUCUCUCCUGGAUUUAGUAAGGUCGUGAAAAUCAUCUUUUCCCAGCACUCAAUGAGGAGACGAGCUUUCUCUCUCUUUUGGGACAUUUGUGAAUGGAGUUUGGUACUGGAUUUGUUGUCAGGAGUUGUGGUGGCUAAAGCUUUCCUUCUCCUCAUUGGUGACUGAAAGGGUGUGCAUGGAUUUUACAACACAUGAGGGAGUCUUCUCUAUUUGUUCUGGUGGCCAUGGCCAUGGGCUUUGCUUGGACCUAGCCUCUCCAUGCCACCUGCCCCGCCAGAGUGAGUGUGUCUGGAGCCACAGUACUACAGCAUGCUUGAUGUCUUAGCUUUAAGGGGCUCCUAGUUAGGGCUGCCCCCUGCAUGCAGUGCUUCCUUUCUUUCCCACUGGCACCUCUUAGGCCUUCGUGGCCCCUGAUUUUUGGUCCUGCCAUUGCUCAUGACCUGGUGAUGGCACUGCUUGCUGUGGAGUUCUGAAGGGGAAAAAGGCAGAGCCAUCAAACAUCUAUGUAGGGCCCAGAUGGGGAGAAGGCGUAAGUCUGAAAAUCUUGCAGUAUUUUAACUGCACCAAAAUUAAGAUAAAAACAUUACACACUGUUAAGAGUUAUGUGUCUAAAGCUCAGAAAUCCCCUAACAACAUGGGUUUUUCCAGAUCUGAAGAAGCCCAAAGAUGGUGCCUAGUAAAGGCCUUAGAAUCAUCAGCGAUCCAGGAAAUACAAAUCAAAACAAUGAGACCACUUUCCUCACUAGGAUGGCUAUCAUGAAAAAGACAGAUACCAAAUGUUGACAAGGAUGUGAAGAAAUUGGAAGUGUCCAUAUGAUCCAGCAAUUCCGCUCCCUGGUACGCACCCUAAAGAAAUGAAAAUAUAAGUCCACUAAUAAUUUGUACACAAGUGUUCUUAUGAACAUUAUUCAUAAAAUCCAAAAAGUGGAAACACCAGCUCCCAAAAGGACAGUCCACAGGUGUCUAUAAAUGGUCCUAAAAGAAUGAAUUGUGGAGUGAUUUUGCAUUAGGCAUGACUAUGCUGUAGGCAGCUCCUGGAAUGGAGGUCCCCCUCAUAGUGCAUGGAGGUCAAUAGCCAGUUGUACCAAAGAGUAUUCUCUCUGUAGUACUGUGGGGAGCACAAGCCCCACCUCCAAAGCCAGAAAUCCAAGCCUUUCAGUGAGACUUCGUGGUAAGUAGUUUAUUUAUUUACCAUAAAUAAAUAAAUAUUUAUAUGCCAGUAGUUUAUUUCUCACAAUUGAGAAGAACAGUACCCAGUGUCAGGAUAUAUCUACCCCUUAAAAGCAUAUGAGACCGGGUGCGGUGGCUCAUGCCUGUAAUCCCAGCACUUCGGGAAGCCAAGGCAGGUGGAUCACCUGAGAUCUGGAGUUUGAGAUCUGACCAACAUGGAGAAACACCAUCUCUACUAAAAAUACAAAAUUAGCCUGGUGUGGUGGUGCAUGCCUGUAUUCCCAGCUACUUGGGAGGCUGAGGAAGGAGAAUUGCUUGAAUCGAGGAGACAGUGGUGGCAGUGAGCCAAGAUCGUGCCAUUGCACUCCAGCCUGGGUGACAGAAUGAAAUUCUAUCUCAAAAAAAAAAAAAGCAUCUGAUAAAAUAUUUCACAUAUUUUUAUUUGUUCAUUAACUGAUGAACGGACAAAUAAAAUUUGGUAUACUCAUACAAUGGAAUCCUAUUUGGCAUGAAAAGGAAUGAAGUACUGAUAACAUGCUGUUGUAUGGGUGAAACUUGACAACAUUAUACUACUUGAAAGAAGCCAGUCUUAAAAAGAUAACACAUUGUAUAUUUCCAUUUAUGGUAAAUGCCUAGAAUAGGCAAAUCCAGGAGACAUAAAGUAGAUUAACAGUUGCCUAACGGCUGGUCCGAGUGCAGAGUUGUUUACAAAACUGAUCACAACCGGUUAUAUAUUUCUUUGUUCCUUCUCCUCUCCCACUGCUCCGCUUGACUCUUCUUAAGAAAUAUAGGGCCGGGCGCGGUGGCUCA